UACGUAGGUGGCGAGCGUUGUCCGGAUUUACUGGGCGUAAAGGGAGCGUAGGCGGACUUUUAAGUGAGAUGUGAAAUACCCGGGCUCAACUUGGGUGCUGCAUUUCAAACUGGAAGUCUAGAGUGCAGGAGAGGAGAAUGGAAUUCCUAGUGUAGCGGUGAAAUUCGUAGAUAUCGGGAGGAACACCAGUGGCGAAGGCGGUUUCCUGGUCUGAUACUGACGCUGAGGCGCGAAAGUGUGGGGAGCAAACAGGAUUAGAUACCCCUGUAGUCCCU
RNAcentral lists this ribosomal RNA (275 nucleotides) under uncultured prokaryote. Its description in RNAcentral is "partial 16S ribosomal RNA". It matches the Rfam family "Bacterial small subunit ribosomal RNA", at positions 524 to 798 of the family's 1533-position model. The record is from RNAcentral.